RNAcentral lists this ribosomal RNA (263 nucleotides) under uncultured archaeon. RNAcentral describes it as "partial 16S ribosomal RNA". It matches the Rfam family "Archaeal small subunit ribosomal RNA", at positions 717 to 982 of the family's 1478-position model. The record is from RNAcentral.
ACACGACUACAUUAGAUACCCCUGUAGUCCUAGGCGUAAAUGAUGCGAGUUAAGUNUGGGGGCAUCUACGAGAUGGCCCUGUGCUGUAGGGUAGCCGUUAAACUCGCUGCCUGGGGAGUACGGUCGCAAGGCUGAACUUAAAGGAAUUGGCGGGGGAGCACCACAAGAGGCGGAGGCUGCGGUUCAAUUGGACUCAACGCCGGAAACUCAUCGGGAGCGACAGCAGUAUGAUUGCCAGGUUGAUGACCUUGCUUGACAAGCUG